Molecule: long non-coding RNA, 242 nt
Filed under: Elaeis guineensis (African oil palm)
Lineage: Eukaryota; Viridiplantae; Streptophyta; Magnoliopsida; Arecales; Arecaceae
Description: long non-coding RNA (EGUI_LNC065710)
Source: RNAcentral
GGUCCAACCAUUAACAUGACUACACCAAGGGCAUCCAACAAACAAAUAUCCAGGCCUGAAGGUCGCUCGGCCAAUCUGAGCAUUGAUCUGAGGGGCACAACAAGAUGGUCAUAUGAUGAAUGACAAUUUCAAUACCCAAUAGACAUCAGAUAUGUGGUGCCUCCUAUGCCUAUUUAGAAUAUUGGACUCAUUAUUACGCACCUUAAUGGGAGGCUAUGAACAAGUGUAUUUCCAUAACUAUA